RNAcentral lists this ribosomal RNA (406 nucleotides) under uncultured bacterium. RNAcentral's name for it is "partial 16S ribosomal RNA". It matches the Rfam family "Bacterial small subunit ribosomal RNA", at positions 30 to 526 of the family's 1533-position model. The record is from RNAcentral.
AUUGAACGCUGGCGGCAGGCCUAACACAUGCAAGUCGAACGAGUGGCGGACGGGUGCGUAAUGUCUGGGACACUGCCUGAUGGAGGGGGAUAACUACUGGAAACGGUAGCUAAUACCGCAUACCAUCGGAUGUGCCCAGAUGGGAUGAGCUAGUAGGUGGGGUAACGGCUCACCUAGGCGACGAUCCCUAGCUGGUCUGAGAGGAGGACCAGCCACACUGGAACUGAGACACGGUCCAGACUCCUACGGUAGCCAUCAGUGGGGAAGAUUGCACAAUGGGCGCAAGCCUGAUGCAGCCAUGCCGCGUGUAUGAAGAAGGCCUUCGGGUUGUAAAGUACUUUCAGCGGGGAGGCGUUACCCGCAGAAGAAGCACCGGCUAACUCCGUGCCAGCCGCCGCGGUAAUAC